RNAcentral lists this ribosomal RNA (439 nucleotides) under uncultured bacterium. Its description in RNAcentral is "partial 16S ribosomal RNA". It matches the Rfam family "Bacterial small subunit ribosomal RNA", at positions 339 to 795 of the family's 1533-position model. The record is from RNAcentral.
CUACGGGACGCUGCAGUGGGGAAUAUUGGACAAUGGGCGCAAGCCUGAUCCAGCAAUGCCGCGUGAGUGAAGACGGCCUUAGGGUUGUAAAACUCUUUCGCUAGGGAAGAUAAUGACUGUACCUAGUAAAGAAGUCCCGGCUAACUCCGUGCCAGCAGCCGCGGUAAUACGGAGGGGACUAGCGUUGUUCGGAAUUACUGGGCGUAAAGAGUUCGUAGGCGGACUGACAAGUUAGAGGUGAAAUCCCAGGGCUCAACCCUGGAACUGCCUUUAAAACUGUCAGUCUAGAGACCGGAAGAGGUUAGGGGAAUACCUAGUGUAGAGGUGAAAUUCGUAGAUAUUAGGUGGAACACCAGUGGCGAAGGCGCCUAACUGGUCCGGUACUGACGCUGAGGAACGAAAGCGUGGGGAGCAAACAGGAUUAGAUACCCGGGUAGUC